This 253-nucleotide ribosomal RNA is filed under the name uncultured bacterium. RNAcentral describes it as "partial 16S ribosomal RNA". It matches the Rfam family "Bacterial small subunit ribosomal RNA", at positions 524 to 776 of the family's 1533-position model. The record is from RNAcentral.
UACGUAGGGUGCGAGCGUUGUCCGGAAUUAUUGGGCGUAAAGGGCUCGUAGGCGGUUUGUCGCGUCGGGAGUGAAAACACCGGGCUUAACUCGGUGCUUGCUUUCGAUACGGGCAGACUAGAGGCAUGCAGGGGAGAACGGAAUUCCUGGUGUAGCGGUGAAAUGCGCAGAUAUCAGGAGGAACACUGGUGGCGAAGGCGGUUCUCUGGGCAUGUCCUGACGCUGAGGCGCGAAAGCGUGGGGAGCAAACAGG